RNAcentral lists this ribosomal RNA (496 nucleotides) under uncultured bacterium. RNAcentral's name for it is "partial 16S ribosomal RNA". It matches the Rfam family "Bacterial small subunit ribosomal RNA", at positions 36 to 507 of the family's 1533-position model. The record is from RNAcentral.
AUUCCCUCUUUCUUCGUGCCUAAUACAUGCAAGUCGAGCGAACAGAUGAGGAGCUUGCUCCUCUGACGUUAGCGGCGGACGGGUGAGUAACACGUGGAUAACCUACCUAUAAGACUGGGAUAACUUCGGGAAACCGGAGCUAAUACCGGAUAAUAUAUUGAACCGCAUGGUUCAAUAGUGAAAGACGGUUUUGCUGUCACUUAUAGAUGGAUCCGCGCCGCAUUAGCUAGUUGGUAAGGUAACGGCUUACCAAGGCAACGAUGCGUAGCCGACCUGAGAGGGUGAUCGGCCACACUGGAACUGAGACACGGUCCAGACUCCUACGGGAGGCAGCAGUAGGGAAUCUUCCGCAAUGGGCGAAAGCUUGACGGAGCAACGCCGCGUGAGUGAUGAAGGUCUUCGGAUCGUAAAACUCUGUUAUUAGGGAAGAACAAAUGUGUAAGUAACUAUGCACGUCUUGACGGUACCUAAUCAGAAAGCCACGGCUAACUACGUG